UACGGAGGAUCCGAGCGUUAUCCGGAUUUAUUGGGUUUAAAGGGUGCGCAGGUUGUUUGAUAAGUCAGUGGUGAAAGUCUGUCGCUUAACGGUAGGAUUGCCAUUGAUACUGUUAGACUUGAAUAUGGAUGAGGUUGGCGGAAUGUGUAGUGUAGCGGUGAAAUGCAUAGAUAUUACACAGAACACCGAUUGCGAAGGCAGCUUACUAAUCCAUCAUUGACGCUGAGGCACGAAAGCGUGGGGAUCAAACAGGA
This 254-nucleotide ribosomal RNA is filed under the name uncultured prokaryote. Its description in RNAcentral is "partial 16S ribosomal RNA". It matches the Rfam family "Bacterial small subunit ribosomal RNA", at positions 524 to 777 of the family's 1533-position model. The record is from RNAcentral.